This 460-nucleotide ribosomal RNA is filed under the name uncultured Peptostreptococcaceae bacterium. RNAcentral's name for it is "bacterial SSU rRNA". It matches the Rfam family "Bacterial small subunit ribosomal RNA", at positions 923 to 1382 of the family's 1533-position model. Lineage: Bacteria; Bacillati; Bacillota; Clostridia; Peptostreptococcales; Peptostreptococcaceae. The record is from RNAcentral.
GCGACAAGUAGCGGAGCAUGUGGUUUAAUUCGAAGCAACGCGAGACUUACUAGGCUUGACAUCCCUUUGCAAAGCCCUUAACCGGGCUCCUCUUCUUCGGAAGACAAAGGUGACAGGUGGUGCAUGGUUGUCGUCAGCUCGUGUCGUGAGAUGUUGGGUUAAGUCCCGCAACGAGCGCAACCCCUAUUUUUAGUUGCCAUCAGUUAGGCUGGGCACUCUAGAAAGACUGCCGAGGACAACUCGGAGGAAGGUGGGGAUGACGUCAAAUCAUCAUGCCCCUUAUGCUUAGGGCUACACACGUGCUACAAUGGCUGUUACAAAGGGCUGCGAUGCCGCGAGGUGGAGCCAAUCCCAGAAAAACAGUCUAAGUUCGGAUUGUAGGCUGAAACUCGCCUACAUGAAGCCGGAGUUACUAGUAAUCGCAGAUCAGAAUGCUGCGGUGAAUGCGUUCCCGGGUCUU